RNAcentral lists this long non-coding RNA (283 nucleotides) under Elaeis guineensis (African oil palm). RNAcentral describes it as "long non-coding RNA (EGUI_LNC054083)". Lineage: Eukaryota; Viridiplantae; Streptophyta; Magnoliopsida; Arecales; Arecaceae. The record is from RNAcentral.
AACUGAAAGACUAAACGUUACGAGGAUAUAUAGAGGGUUGUUGACCCACCCUGGUUUUGAUUCGCCAAAAAGUCAAAAGGGAUGAAAAGGGCCAGGUCAGACUUUUCUAUAGGUCCAAUUUAAGGUCAGUUUCCCUCGAGCGAAAAGAGUGGGAUUUGAUUCUCCAUUAGAAGCAGUUCCAUUCCUAUUCCCUGGGAUUACUCCUAGUAUGAGUAGUUUAUUCUUUUAUUUCUUCUGUCUUUUCUUCCUUUUCUCGGCCAGCCUUGAAAGUUCUCUUCCAGAA